UGGGCAGAAGGGGUGAGGGAGCCGGAGGUGAGGCGUCUGGGCUGUCAGCGACCCGCGAGGACUUGAAGUAGACGCGGCGGCGUCCGCAGUGGCUCCGGGCUCCCGCCCGGGUGCAGCUGCAGCGGGAGGGAAGGAACGACAGUCCGAGUGGCGCUCCUUCCUUUGUGUCUGGGUUGGAAUACUCAUCUCGGCGCCACGGGACUGCGUGGGCCGCCUGCGGGGGUGACGCCUCCUCCGCAGGUCGGAGAUUCCCGGGGGUCUUCAGGAGCCCCCCCGGCUGCGGAGGCCCAGCUCAUGGUUGACAGAGAAGGAAAAAUUUGAGGGAGGAUGGAUGCAAAAGCUCGAAAUUGUUUGCUUCAACAUAGAGAAGCCCUGGAAAGGGACGUCAAAACAUCCUACAUCAUGGAUCACAUGAUUAGUGAUGGAGUUUUAACAGUGUCGGAGGAGGAAAAAGUAAAAAAUGAGCCCACCCAACGGCAACGAGCAGCUAUGCUAAUUAAAACGAUACUUGAAAAAGAUAAUUAUUCCUAUAUAUCAUUCUACAAUGCUCUGCUACAUGAAGGGUAUAAAGAUCUUGCCUACCUUCUCCAUGGUGGCAUUCCUGUCCUAUCUUCUUCCAAUGGCAAAGAUUCAGUUGGAAUAACUUCAUAUGUAAGGACAGUCCUGUGUGAAGGUGGAGUACCACAGAGGCCCGUUGUUUUUGUUACUAGGAGGAAGCUAGUGAAUGCAAUUCAGCAGAAGCUCUUCAAACUGAGUGGUGAACCGGGAUGGGUCACCAUAUACGGAAUGGCAGGUUGUGGGAAGUCUGUAUUAGCUGCAGAAGCUGUUCGAGAUCAUUCUUUCUUAGAAGUUUGUUUCCCAGGGGGUGUGCAUUGGGUUUCAGUUGGGAAACAAGACAAAUCUGGGCUUCUGAUGAAACUGCAGAAUCUUUGCACACGGCUGGAUCAGGAUGAGAAUUUCUCCCAGAGGCUUCCACUUAAUAUUGAAGAGGCUAAAGACCGUCUCCGCAUUCUGAUGCUGCGCAAACAUCCAAGGUCUCUGUUGAUUUUGGAUGAUGUUUGGGAUCCUUGGGUGUUAAAAGCUUUUGACAAUCAGUGUCAGAUUCUUCUUACAACCAGAGACAAGAGUGUUACAGAUUCAGUAAUGGGUCCUAAAUAUGUAGUCCCUGUGGAGAGUGGUUUAGGAAAAGAAAAAGGACUUGAAAUUUUAUCCCUUUUUGUUAAUAUGAAGAAAGCAGAUUUGCCAGAACAAGCUCACAGUAUUAUAAAAGAAUGUAAAGGUUCACCUCUUGUAGUGUCUUUAAUUGGUGCACUUUUACGAGAUUUUCCCACCCGCUGGGAGUACUACCUCAGGCAACUUCAGAAUAAGCAAUUUAAGAAGAUAAGGAAAUCUUCAUCUUAUGAUUAUGAGGCUUUGGAUGAAGCCAUGUCUAUAAGUGUUGAAAUGCUCAGAGAAGACAUCAAAGAUUAUUACACAGAUCUUUCCAUCCUUCAGAAAGAUGUUAAGGUGCCUACGAAGGUGUUGUGUAUCCUCUGGGAUAUGGAAACUGAAGAAGUUGAAGACAUACUGCAGGAGUUUGUUAAUAAGUCUCUCUUGUUCUGUGAUCGAAAUGGAAAAUCAUUUCUUUAUUAUUUACAUGAUCUUCAAGUAGAUUUCCUUACACAGAAGAAUCACAGCCAGCUUCAGGAUCUACACAAGAAACUAAUCACUCAGUUCCAGAGACAUUUCCGGCUACAUUGUCUUUCACCAGAUCAGGAGGACUGCAUGUAUUGGUACAAUUUUCUGGCCUAUCACAUGGCUAGUGCUAAAAUGCACAAAGAACUGUGUGCUUUAAUGUUUUCCCUGGAUUGGAUUAAAGCAAAAACGGAGCUCGUAGGCCCUGCUCAUCUGAUUCAUGAAUUUGUGGAAUACAGGCAUAUGUUGGAUGAAAAGGAUGGUGCAGUCUGUGAGAAUUUCCAGGAGUUUUUAUCUUUAAAUGGACAUCUUCUUGGACGACAGCCAUUUCCUAAUAUUGUACAGCUGGGCCUCUGUGAACUGGAAACUUCAGAAGUUUAUCAGCAAGCUAAGCUGAAGGCCAAGCAGGAGGUCGAUAACGGAAUGCUUUACGUGGAAUGGAUAAACAAAGAAAACAUCAAGAAUCUCUCCCGCUUGGUCGUCCGCCCCCAUACAGAUGCUGUGUACCAUGCUUGCUUUUCUGAGGAUGGUCAAAGAAUAGCUUCUUGUGGAGCUGAUAAAAACUUGCAGGUUUUCAAAGCUGAAACAGGAGAGAAACUUCUAGAAAUCAAGGCUCAUGAGGAUGAAGUGCUUUGCUGUGCAUUCUCUGCAGAUGACAGAUUUAUAGCAACCUGCUCAGUGGAUAAAAAAGUGAAGAUUUGGAAUUCUACGUCUGGGGAACUAGUACAUACCUAUGACGAGCACUCAGAGCAAGUCAAUUGCUGCCACUUCACCAACAACAGUAAUCACCUUCUCUUAGCCACUGGUUCAGAUGACUGCUUCCUCAAACUCUGGGCUCUGAAUCAAAAAGAAUGUCGAAAUACCAUGUUUGGCCAUACAAAUUCAGUCAAUCACUGCAGAUUUUCACCAGAUGAUAAGCUUUUGGCUAGUUGUUCAGCUGAUGGAACAUUAAAGCUUUGGGAUGUGAAAUCAGCAAACGAGAGGAAGAGCAUUAAUGUGAAGCAGUUCUUCCUAAAUUCAGAGGAGCCUCAAGAGGAUAUGGAAGUGAUAGUGAAAUGCUGUUCAUGGUCUGCUGAUGGUGCUAGGAUAAUGGUGGCAGCAAAAAAUAAAGUCUUUCUGUUUGACAUUCACACCAGUGGCCUGUUGGCAGAAAUCCACACAGGCCAUCAUAGCACUGUCCAGUACUGUGACUUCUCCCCCCAUAACCAUUUGGCAGUGGUGGCUUUGCCCCAGUACUGCGUGGAGUUGUGGAAUAUGGACUCAUGUUUAAAAGUAGCUGAUUGUAGAGGACAUUUAAGUUGGGUCCAUUGUGUGAUGUUUUCUCCUGAUGGAUCAUCAUUUUUGACGUCUUCUGAUGACCAGACAAUCAGGCUCUGGGAGACAAAGAAAGUAUGUAAGAACUCUGCUAUAGCGUUAAAGCAAGAAAUAGAUGUUGUGUUUCAAGAAAAUGAAGUGAUGGUUCUUGCAGUUGAUGAUAUAAAACGUCUGCAACUCCUUAAUGGAAACACAGGUCAGAUUGAGUAUCUGACUGAAGCUCAAGUGAGUUGCUGUUGCUUAAGUCCACAUCUUCAGUACCUUGCAUUUGGAGGCGAAGAUGGAGCCAUUCGGAUUUUAGAAAUCCUAAACAACAGAAUCUUCCAAUCCAGGACUGGGCACAAGAACACUGUACGGCACAUCCAGUUCACAGCUGAUGCAAAGACUCUUAUCUCAAGCUCUGAUGACUCUGCAAUUCAGGUAUGGAAUUGGCAAUCAGAGGAAUAUGUCUUUCUGCAAGCCCAUCAGGAAACUGUGAAAGACUUUAGACUCUUGAAAAAUUCAAGACUGCUUUCCUGGUCGUUUGAUGGAACAGUGAAGGUAUGGAAUAUUAUUACUGGAAGAAUAGAAAAAGACUUUGUCUGUCAUCAGGAUACAGUUCUUUCUUGUGAUAUUUCUCCUGAUGCAACCAAGUAUUCUUCUACCUCUGCUGACAAGACUGCAAAGAUUUGGAGUUUUGAACUCCUUUCCCCUCUUCAUGAAUUGAGAGGCCACAAAGGCUGCGUGCGCUGCUCUGCCUUCUCUGUGGACAGUACCCUGUUGGCAACUGGAGAUGACAACGGAGAAAUCAGGAUAUGGAAUGUCUCAAAUGGUGAGCUUCUUCAUUUGUUUGCUCCGAUUUCAGUAGAAGAAGGAGCUGCUACUCACGGAGGCUGGGUGACUGACCUUUGCUUUUCUCCAGAUAGCAAAAUGCUUGUUUCUGCUGGAGGAUAUCUUAAGUUUGUCUCUGAUGCCUGGUGUGGCUGGCAUGGAGAAGAUCCUGUAAAGAAGAGAAUUCAUUUAUUCAUUUUUUCGUUCAGUACAUAUUUGUUGAGAACUGCCUGGCAUUUUUGUAGGUAUUGGGGAUAUAGCAGUGAGCAAAACAAAGUCCUUGCCCUCCUGCAGUUGGGGGCUAGGGAGAGACAGAAAAAAAGUCAGUCAGUCAAAUUUAUAGUGAUUAGUUGGUAUGUAAGUGAGGAGAGGAGGAGGGCUACAGUUCUAGAGGGAGCUGCUUGUUUGGAAGGUGACACUCGAGUUCAGACCUGAAAGGUGAGGGAGGGAGUGAGUCAGGCAAGUAUCUGGAGAGAGUCCCCAAGCAAGGGUACAGCAAGUGCAAAGACUGGAAAGUGGGACGGGUUGGUCUGUUCCAGAACCAGCAUGGAGGCUGGUGUGGCUGGAGAAGACUGAGCGAGGGGAGCUUAGUAGGAGGUGCAGCCAGCUCUGUGGAGGGUCUCCCAGGCCAUGGCGAGGAUGUCUACCCUGAUAUAGUAGCUAGCGCAGGAGUGUGAGCAGUGGGGAGAUCUGACGUAAGCUGUAACUUGAUCACUUUGGCGGUGGGAACCAGUUGAGGAUCAGCUGAAAGGAGGACAGGUGAGGAGGGAAGCAGGGAGACCAAUGAGAAGCUUUUACAAUAAUCUGGGCAAAAUGAAGGCGGCUAGACUGGGGUGGCGGCAGGAGAGGCUGUGACAAGUUGGAUUCUGGGUAUACUUUGACGGUAAGAGUUAAUAAGAGUUGCUAAUGGAUCGGAUACAGGUUGUGAGAGGGACAAGUCAAGAAUGAUACCAAGGUUUUGGCCUCCGGCUUGAACAACUGGAAGAAUAGAGUUGCUGUUAGCUGAGAUGAGAAGACUAUGUAAAAGGAGUGGGGUUUAGGACAAAGUAAGUUUGAGGUAGGUGUUAGGAAGACACCUGGGGCUGUUGAGUAGAUGGUUCUUUUAUAGGAAAAGUCUCUGAUGGAGAUAAAAAUCUGAGAGUCAUCAGUGAGUUGAUGGUAUUUAAAACCACAGGACCAGAUGCAACAAAAUGGGUGUAGAUAGACAAGACAGGAGACCCCAGACUGAGCCCAGGGCAGUCUGGAGGUUGGUGAGCUGAGGGACCGGCACAGGACACCGAGAAGAACCAGCAAGGACUAACAGUUGCAGCUUAGUGUGGGAUUGCUCUUGGAAGAAAAGCAGCAGGGGCCAUUCUGAUGGGAGCCAGACAGACAGAAGAGGUUGGGGGAUGCUUUGGAUUUGCCAGCACUUGGCCGCGGCUCAACCUAGUCUCAGUUCACAAGUGAUUCAAACACUGAGCAAGACACACACCACAGAGAGCUCAUGUGAGCACACAGCAAGACAGCAGCCACCAACAAGCCAAGCCAGGAGAAAAGGGCCUUAGAAUGAAACCUACCUUGCUGGCACCUUGAUCUUGGACUUCCCAGGACCUCCAGAACUGGGUUACGACUGGAAAGUCUUGGUUGCACUUUCUGUCACUGGUGCAGAAAGAACGUCCCCAGGAAUGGCCAGUGGCCUUUCGCCCGUGACAAGGCCACACAAACAGCA
This is a non-coding RNA of Delphinapterus leucas (beluga whale), 5506 nucleotides long. NCBI's taxonomy places the organism in Eukaryota, Metazoa, Chordata, Mammalia, Artiodactyla, Monodontidae. The record is from RefSeq and is a predicted model, not a curated record.